UACGUAGGGGGCAAGCGUUGUCCGGAAUCAUUGGGCGUAAAGAGCGUGUAGGCGGCCCGAUAAGUCCGCUGUGAAAGUCCAGGGCUCAACCCUGGAAUGCCGGUGGAUACUGUCGGGCUCGAAUCCGGAAGAGGUGAGUGGAACUCCUGGUGUAGCGGUGGAAUGCGCAGAUAUCAGGAAGAACACCGACGGCGAAGGCAGCUCGCUGGGACGGUACUGACGCUGAGGCGCGAAAGCGUGGGGAGCGAACAGG
Molecule: ribosomal RNA, 253 nt
Filed under: uncultured bacterium
Lineage: Bacteria
Description: partial 16S ribosomal RNA
Rfam family: Bacterial small subunit ribosomal RNA
Source: RNAcentral